GAACCGGUAGUAAAAAAUGCUAUUAAAAAGUUUUUUAAAGGUUCCAACAAUCACGUGCCACAGCUAUGAUCAUCGGAAUCUUUUUAAAGCAUUUUUUUUCUACUGGUUCUGGAGAACCGGUAGUUACAAAUGCUUUAAAAAGUAAAAAAAAAAAAGUUCCAACAAUCACGCAUCACUCAGGUGUUCUUCUGAAGUUGUUGUGUUGUUGUUUUUUACUGUUUUUACUACCGGUUCAGGGAACCAGUAGCAUUUUUAACUAUCUGUUUGGGCAAACCAGCCUGAACCGGUAGCAUUUCACUCCUGUUUUGGAAGAACUCUUUAAGAGUGAAUGAAUGACUGUCAUAACUUUGAAUGAUUUCGAAACCAUAAGUCAAAGUUUACCUGAUAUUACUGCAAUGUGCAUGCAUUGGCUCCUGAGGAACACUUGGAAGCUAUUAAAUUUAUGUUUUACUGACAAAGAAAUAAAAGGAGGCUAAUAUAGAUUUAUUUCAAGCUAUUUAACUCUCAUCAGCUAGCCAUACCUUUCUGGGAGCCGAACCCAAGCUGCUUGCAUAUUAGAUAGAUGUAUUAACCUCUAAGUCUCCCUUUAUUUCUUUGUCGGUAAAACAUAAAUUUUAACACAAAAAUAGUUUGUCAUGAAAGCGUCUGCCUGCUAAGACCCCUGGAUUGGGGCUAAAAGGCGAAAAUGGAAGCAGUAUGCUCUAUCCCAUAAUUGGGUAGACCAGGUUGUCCUGACAGACCUGAGAAAAAAACACUUGGAAGCUAUAGUACGCCUUUAUAUCUUGGUACUACUCCAUGUAACACUGCCCAUAUCACAUGAGCUGCAGGGGAUAUUGGUAGGCUUCUGGAUGCUAUUCAAGGUGUUGGUUGUCACUCAUGGGAAAGGGUGUGUGUGUGUGUGUGUGUGUGUGUGUGUGUGUGUGUACACAUGCAUGAAUGCAUGCUGUUUUUAUGUUGUUUACAGUGUGAUUGAAGUAAAUAUUUUGGUGUUCCUAUUUAUUAAGUAAGUUUAGAUACUGGCAGCCAAAAUUAUUUGCUGAUACUAUUGUUUAUUGUGACACCCUUUCAGCAUUCUCAUAUUUCUCAAAAAUAAUCUCCUUAAGUUAUUUUUUUUUAAUACAAGUUGUGUGGUAAAUAGUACUUACCGUGAUCAGCCACUCUUUUACAGACCUGAGAUGAAAAUUUUGAGUUUCAAAUUUUGUUUUCAGUUCAGAACAAUUUUUUUUACAAAAUAUAUAUAUACAUUGUUCUAAGGCACAAUGCACCAAGACCAAAAAUUUGCAGGAAUAAUACCAUUAAAUUAAUAAUAUUCAUUAAUUAAUGAACUAAUUAUUAAUAUUAAUAAAUUAGCUUAUUAAUUAAACUUAUUGUAUAGGUUUUUUGUUAAUGUCACUAAAUCCAGCCAAGCUAGUAUAUGUCUUGAGUCUAAACAAUACAAAGAAAUCUGAAUAAAAUAAUACCAGGGGUAGGGAAUACACUAUUGUUUUAAAACAAAAACAUUGUAACAUAUGCUUUUACUAUGUAAGCGUUUUUCUAAAUAUGUGACAUAUUGAACCAAUGAAACAUAAUGAACCAAUGAAAUACUCUAAACUUUUAAUAAAUACAGAUUGUAGUUAUACAGUUGUAAAAAAAUGUUAUUUCCUGAUGUUUGUUUGUUUGCUUGCUGGAGAUCACUAUAUAAAUACAUAUGCAUCACACAAUUUCCUUUUGGGAUCAGCAACAUUCUUUGGAGGACAGGAAAAGAUUAAGAAAUAGUAAACCAAGAAUCAAGGGAAUGAGAAAAGAAAAAGAAAAGAAAACAUAAGCAAAACUAGUUCACAGAAAUAUUAUUCACUAUUCUUUUCUAUUCCUCUUUAUAGUUGUAAAUUACUCUUACUCCACCAUGGCCAAGCACUACUUCAUGCAUUGUAUUUUGUUCUCUAAACUAGCUGUCUCCAACCUUUAUGACUUGAGAGGGGAGGGAAACUAUGCACAUGUGUGAACUCUGCCCAGCCAUUCAUGCAGUCCAAUUCAGAACAGGCUAAGGGCUGCUAGUGGGUCGCGGCCAGUGGGUUGUGGACUCCUAAACUUUUCACCUCUCUCUGGUUCAAGUUCAUUUCUGUACCUGAUCAUAUAUUACCCAUAAAUUUUCUAUCAGCAUUUGCACAUUUUCAAAUUUCUCCAUCCAUUUCCCCAUGUUUAGUAAACUACAGUACACAAAUUGACUAAUAACUUUUCUUCAUUUUACAUUUCAGAUACAACUAAUUUGCUCUUUGAUAUAUUAAUUCUCAGACCUAUAUUCUUUAUUGCAUCCUAAUCAUAGGAAAUACUAAAUUUAUAUCAAAUCAUUUGGGGUCUCAGCUAACAAAUCGAUCUGCAUGCAAAAAUUCAUGACCCAGUCAAAGCGUAUUUAAUAUCACUACAGCUAUUCUUUAGACAUUCAAAUAUACAUUAAACUAGUGGUUCCCAACCAUUUUGGCCAUGCCCCACCUAAGCAUCUCUAAAAUUUUGACUCACACACCACCACCACCAUCCCUGUGACAUAUAAUUCUUACUAUUUAAAAAGUGACACCUACUCAGAGGAAGCCUAAAAGGCCAUUAACAUGGUUUAAACAAGGUUCCAAUUGCCCCCAUUAAAAAUCAAACUGCCCCCCUGUUGGGCGUGGGCCCCACGUUGGGAAUUACUGCAUUAAACAAAAGGACAUCACACUCAUUUAUCUUAUUUUGAGCAAUUUUCUAGGCAUUCCAUGUAUACCAUGUAUAUUUUGUUAUUAUGCUCAGCAACCAACCUUAAAUUCUGUAUUGAUGCAAAAUAUUCCAUAAUUUAAGUUUCCACACUACCAUAAUUUUCUCUAAAUCAGUGAAUAUAUAAUAAAUUUUCUUUUUCACAUUCACACAUUUCUCAAUCCAGAGUUUGACUUAUAUCUAUUUUAAAAAAUAGAAACAAUUCUAUAGUAAUUUUUAUGAUGGAUUAUUAGUCUUUUACUGGCAAACCAUAGGCAAUAAUAUGUAGAAAUAAUAAAAAUGCGGGGAAUGGUGUGAUCUGAAGCCGAACUUCCCCUAUAUUUCUUAAGUAUCUAGAAUUGGAGAGAUGCCCUUAAUUAGGAUGUUGUUAUAAUGCAUGUAACGGAGAGAACAUUAUAUUUAAUGAGAUAAAUAAAUCAUUUCUGGAUUUCAUGGACACAUCCACCUAGUUUUCUAGGCAGCAAAAUGGAAGUGCUUUGCUAUUGCCUUCUUUCAGGAAAUAUUUCCAAUUUCCCAAUCUAGCCUAGAGCACUGGUAUUCCCUGAAGGUCCUCUCUGAAUGUACAGUAUUAAGCGGCUCAAUGCUAUUUAGUUUCUGGGCGCAGACACUGAGUAAGUGCUGCCAAAGGGUAGUCUAGCAAUGAAAAGAAGAAAGAAAAGAAAACCUCAAAGCAGCAGCAAACCACUUCCAUAACUGCCAAGCUGCCAAGAAAACUGCCUAGGUGCAGUCACCAAGACUCAAGCUUAACCCACAUUUGGGUUGAUAUAUAUAUAUAUAUUAAGAUCUAUAAAAUUUGUUUGUUCUUCAAAUUUGAGAAUAAUUUCUCUUUCAAAAAGAGUACAAAUAUAACUUCUACUGAGUAGAAAGAGCAACCCAGUGGCCUCAGUCCUGAAAAGCUAACUGACAUUAAAGACCACUGAGAUUAAUAGAACCAGUUAGCUGCCACUAAUGACCCAUUUAUUUCAAGGAAUUUAAGCAUGACUAACCUUUCUUGGAUCAGAGCCAUUGCCAUCCAUAAACUUUGAGCUAAUGUAAGAGGACAGAAAGGAUCCUUACACAAUUAGUCUGGAGAAAUUAUCUGUGGUUGAAAUAAAUAUAUAUUUAUUUGGUUACUCAUACCCACAGUGUAACUCCAAAUUAUUAAACCUGUUUUUGUAUAAUAGCAGAGAAAUUACUAUCUGCUAAUCUAUAAGUGUAGUCUACUAAAUAUUACUGCUGCUCUUAUUAACAAUUGAACUGCUGAUAUUUGGCAAUAGCAUUUAAAAAAAAAUUUAAGGGCUGUUUUGGGAGGGCAUGUCUCAAUACAAUAAUUUUGUCAUUUCACAUACACAGAGAAAACUCCAGUUCAAUAACGAUCAGAAAUCAGGAGAGUAUAAUAAAUUGAAUAUUUGGACACUCGAUUGAAAAAAAACAAUAAUACGCAUUGAAGACCAUUGUUACUUAGGGAUUAGCUAUGCUCUAAAAAUGGCUCUUACUUCAAGUAAUAAGGAGCUAGGUAUCAGAGGAAGAUUUUUAAUAGUUAACUUGUUCACUAAAUGCUGGUAAUGAUUUGAGCUCACUUAUCCUUCUUAUGCCCCUGUUAAUUUCUUAUUCUGAAUUCUUAAAUCAGAUUGCUAUUAUGUAGCAAUUACUUUCAAAAUAAAUUGAACUGCUGUUUAGAAGUGGCUCAGCAAUCAGUGGCUCAAAAGAUAAUUUUAUUCACUCACCCAAGUCUAACAGCACUAAUGAGGGAAGAUAACAAGUAGUAACUUCCUUUAUCUUUAAGAUGUCAAGACUGCCAAGAAAAAGUAAGAAACUCAAAAUACAAGAGCUCUGUUCAUAUCAUAUCAUUUAUUUAAUAAAAAUAAACUAUGGCUUAGCACAGUAUGUAGAUUUAGUAAAAUUAUUUUAAAAUAUCAGUAUGAUUACUUCGGCAAAGCAAGAAAUACUUCCUAAAUUCUAAAGAUAAUGAACAUUGCUGCUAUAUGAUUUUAAAAACAUUGGCAGGGUAAUCUAGUGUUCUCAUGUUUAGUACAAGUAUUUCAGUUCAGAAUGCCCAUGUUUCAAUGCAUUCAUGAACUAGAAUCAAUACAGCCCCCAAUAAAUGUUUUUAAAAGGAUUUUUAAAAAGAGAUAGUCUGACUAUAGAUACAAGAAUUUUUAUAAAGAUCACAAAUCCUUUUCCUAAAUUUGUAAUAUUAAGUAUAGCCACAGUAAAGUGUUUAUAAGAAAUUAUGGCACCCCAGCAGAAUCUACUGGUACAUGUUUGGUUUCAUAAUCUGAUGGUCAAACAAGCUUGCAUAUUAAAUUAAAUUUUACUAAUUCCUGGAAGUGACUUUAUUCUAGACAGAAUGCAAUGGAAAAGGAUUCUAAUUUAUCAAGAUAUAUAGCCACAGUAAUAUAAAAUAUUCACAUUUUUCUUCCAUUAAAAAACCCUACAUCUUAAAAUCUAAUUUUCAGAUGUCUAUAAGAAAACGCAUUGUCCUUAAGAAUAGUUCUACAAAAGCUGUAACUUUUUAUUGUAUGAGUAUUCACAUUUGUUUGUGCUGCCUUAUAUAUAAAUACUAAAAUCAUACCCUUAAAAAACAAUCUACACGGUUUCACUAAUCCUUUAUACUUAAUAUGUGGGAAAAUUGGAUCCUGGAUAAAAGAUUGUGAGGAGAAGAAAUGCGGCUGGCUAUUAGAACAGGACCGUAAUCACUGUAAGACGUAUAAAUUCCAUUUGUUAUUAUGUGUGAGUAAUCUACAGUUAGAUUCACUGUCUAACACUGGUGAAAAUUUAAUAAUUCAACUCCUAACCAAGGACCUAAGAAUUAUUAAGGUAGCGUCUAAGAAUAUAGGCAGUUCCAAGCUGGUUAUUUUUGUAAAAUUAGGGUGUGAAUCCAAUAAAUUCAAUUCAGAAAUGUUGGAUAUGAUAUAGAUGGCAAAUAAAUUUUAUAAAUAAAUAAAACAAUAAAAUAAAUAUUUCCAUAUUGAGGAAAUCCUUCGCUUUGAGGUGUCAAAUCAUGAUUAGUAUAACAAUGAAUUUCUGUUUUCAUAAGUUUUCAACUUAGAUCUGCAAGUCCUGGUAUUUUGUAAUUUAUUCCAAUUGUUUUUCCUCAAUCCUAGCAUCAUCUAGAUAAGCAAUAAUCAGAACUUAUCAAUAAUUGUUAUGUCAGGCAAAUUAUGAACAAGAUGCCUGUCUGUUUGCAUCUUAAAGCUCCAUAAGAUCAUUUCCCAAAACCUUCUCGAAUACUCAAUUUGAUGGUCUCAGUAGUUUUUAUUACAUUUUUAUCCAAAUCUCUGGCAAACUUUCCAGUGAAUAAUUUUGGCAACUUGUAGUCAGUCUGUGAAAUGUUGCUGUAGUCCCUGAUCAAAUGCUUGUUUCAUCUUUUUUGUCACAAAGUCAACGUUUGUUGUUUUGAAAAUUUUGUCAAUAUACAAUUUUUUAAAGUGCUGUCUAAGGCUCUUUGGUAUAGCAUCCAGUAUGCCAAUAACCACUGGGACCACCACUGCUAGUUUAUGCUACAAUCUUUCAACUUUGAUUUUCAGAUCUUGGAAUUUUGUGAUCUAGUUGUGAUCUUAAUAUUAUUAUAGUUUAUCACACCUUUUUUAUAGAUCUUUGAUUUACGACCAAACUAGAACCUGGAAUUCCUUUCAUAAGUCAUAAUGAUUUUAAGUUUAAGCACCGAUAUAAUUGGACCCAAUUUUAUCCCUUUUUUGUGAUGGUUGUUAAACAAAUACCACAGCUGUUAAGUGAACACUGUUGUUAUUAAGCAAACCUGACAGCCAUUAAGCAAAUCAGUGUAUUCCUAUGGGGUUGUUUUGCCGGAAAGCAGUCAAAAAGGCAGGAAGCCUGCAAAAAAAUCACAGUCACAUGAUCUCAGAAUGUUGUAACCAGAUGUAAAAAUGAGCCAGUUCUCAAGCUGCUAAAAUGCAGUUAUGAGACUGUGUGUGUGUUUUUGCACACGGCUGUUAGAACUCCAGAAUCAGGUCAUAAGUAGCUUUUGAGGAGGUCUGUUCUAACUUCAAAUUGUCACUAAGUGACUGGUCAUAAAUCAAGGACUACCUGUAUAUAACUCAAAGCAGCAAGCAUAGCUAAUACUCUUGCCUCCAGUUUUCUUCACUAACAACUAUGAGAAGGUGGAGUGGGCUAAGAGAAAAUGCUACCCAACUGGCUUUCAUGCCUAAAGGGCUUUAGAACUCAAAAUUUCUUGGCUUUAGGCUAGCACUACACCACCUAACUUAACUACUACUUUCACCAGUGAAAAAUAAAGGAGCUCCCCUCCCCUGCAAACCUUGGCUGCUCAUUUUACACCAAUGAUUGUAACACACAAAGUCCCACUUUAGCCUUUGGUUUCUAUUGUAAGGCUAGGCUGGGCUUCAGACUCCGCCUCUAGGCCAUUUUUGAAAUGAAACACUGACUAGAAGCGAGAAAGCUGGGACUUUAUUUGAUUCAUCAGGCCAGUCUCAACUCACAAUACCCCUAAGUAUAGUAUGUAGGUAUUAAUGGGGAGAAGAAAGCAAAAAGUUUAGAAGAACUGAAAUGUAUAUAAGAAAUGUGAUGUUAAAUUCACAUUGUAACAAAAAAAAACACUAUAAAAUAGUACUAUUAUAACUUUUGUGUAUGACUUUAUCAUUGUGUUGGGAGCCAGUUUGGUGUAGUGGCUAGGGCGACAGACUAGAGACUGGGAGACCAUGAGUUCUAGUCCCACCCUAGUCACAAAGCCACCUGCUGACUUUGGGCAGGUACUCUCUCUCUCAGCCCUAGGAAACAGGCAAUGACAAACCUGAAAAACAUUGCCAAGAAAGCUGCAAGGAUUUAUCCAGGCAGUCUCUUGAAAACUGGACACGAUUGAACAGAAGAAAAAAAUGUAUUUAAAUAAUUUGAAAUAGCUACCACUGGUAGUGCACAACAUGGAGUAUGCUAAAGCUGUGGGUGCAGCCCCCAUUUCAUUUUCAAAUAUUGCUGAUCUUUAAAGGAGUUAUUAAAUAAAUGGUGGAAUAAUCAUGUGCAUUUAAUUAAACUUAAUUGUAUUAAAUUAAAUCUACUUUUAAAAUCUUCAACCCAGCUACUUAAAGGCCGAGUACAGUCAAUGGCCUAGAAAGAUUGCUUGCUUCUACUGGGUAAGGCUGCAACCUAAUACCAAUUAACACCUGCACUUUAUUGCAGGGUUCUGUGGCUGGACAGUCAUAAACCGCAGUGGGUAAGCUGGGAAAACACAUCACUUUAUUCCAAACCUAAUAAACCCAAUAUGACUGGGUGACUUUGGAUCAGUCACUUUCUCUCAACCCACCUUACAGGGUUGUUGUUAUGGAGAAAAUAAGAGGCGAAGGGAGUAUUAGGUACUUUUGUCAUCUUGAGUUAUUUAUAAAAAAUAAUACAGGUGGAAUAAACAUAAAUGAAAUGAAAUAAUGAUUAUAGAUAUCUUGUUACUUGCAGAUUCAUGCUCGUCAAUACAAACUGACCUGAUGAACAUGGUUACCCUAAGAGAGCUGCUUGUAUUCCCCAUUUCCAUAAAACCAGGGGUAGCAAGGUAUAAAUGUGUCGCUUUUCUAUGGUAAUGCCUGAUCUUUGGAAUAGCCAAAGCCCCAUUGAAAUCUGACCAAACACAUCUUGAUUUCAUUCUGGAGGAUGUUGAAAAUUCAGCUCUUCUAAAAUCCAUUCUAUCUUCCAUUAUGGAUAUAUGCUCCUCUGUCCAUCUACGUGCAUAUACCUUGCAGCCGAUAUAAUGUAUAAAAUUAAAGUACCAUGAUUCCUUUCCACUUUUUUAGCCACCGUUCCUAAAAGAAAAGCUUCAGGUUCCAAUUUUACAUUCAUUUUCAAAAUUUUCUGAACCAAAAUGCAUAUCUGGUAAGUUCUUAUAAGUUCACCAAAGAUAAUACAAAGUACAGUACUUUCAGAUUGAUUUCCAACAUGUGUUUGAAAUUUCCUUACACAUUUUCCAUAGUUUAUCAGGAUUUAAAAUAUCAUUGAUACAUCAUUGUAUACAAAAUUUCUUUCAAAUUAUAAUUCCCUGUAAAUCUCAAACCUGGUGCCCAUAUCGUUUCCUAUUGAUCAAACAUAAUACUAAAUCUGUUUUGCCCAUUUAACUAUAAAAUUUUUCAUAUAUUCUUCUUUGUGAUUAAAUUUCAGUAAAAAUUUAUACACUUUUUGCAAUAAGGUACAUAAUUCAUUUUCAAAGGUGCAUAAUUCUUUUUAAUUAAUUUAAAUAUUUCAUACAACUGUACAUAAAUAAACUAGUGGCAAAUAUAACCCUCUUUUUCCAAUUGUUUUAAUUUUAAGUCUAAAUUGCAUUUCACCAAAAACCAAUUGAUAAAAUUAAGUCAACUUGGGUUGCUGACUGUCAUUUCCCUUCUAAAAAAAGUCUUCUUGGUGAGAUGCCCACAAAGGUAUUUUAGGAAGUAACUUCCUUUUAUAUCUGUUCCAGAUUUUCACUAUGGCACAUCUAACAAAAUAAUUCUUUAACACUAAGAUAGCUUUCAACCUCUGAUACCUUAAGCCACCCAAAUCUCAAUUCAGGACCUUCUAAUUCCAACAGCCUUUAAAAAAAGUUACCCACUCUUUCAACCACACCAAACAACAUACUUCAAAAUAUAAUUUUAAACCAGGUUAACCCACCACUUUCUUUAGCAUCUUAGAAUAAUUUAUAUUUGUUAUUAACCUUGAAGCCAGCUAUGUGGGCAUCACUUCUAAUGUGACACUUCUAAUGUCUCUAUUUAAGAUUCCAAAAAUUAAAAUAAGUAAUGGUGAUGGAGUUAGCUGAAAUGACAAAAUUGACUGCUUUGAUUGGAGAUAAUAGUAUGAUUAGAUUUCUUGAGGCAUGGUUAGACUUCCUUCAGGAAAAGGAGAAAAAUAAUGUUUUGACUUUGGGAUUUCAUGAUUAGAUUAGAUCACCUAAAUAUUGUGGAUUGUUAAAAUAUAUGGCCAUGAUCUACCUAUAGUUAAUAUGUUUUAUAUGUUAAAGUAAGAAUAUAUGAAUAUUUUUCUAAUAUUAGUUAUUAAUAUUUUUAAGAUCUUUAUCAAUUGAUAUUUACCUAAACAUAGACAAGAGGUUGCUAUAUUUUAACAUUCUCUCUGCACUGAAAAAUGUCAGCAGUCACUUCUUUUAUGAUAUAUUUGUUUUAUGGGGGGUUUGCUAAUUUUUAACCUUUUUCUUUUAUCACUUUGCCUUUUCCCUUUUAGUUUGUAUUUUAUGUAUUUUUUUAAAAAAAAUUAAUAAAGUUAUAUAUUUAAAAAAAACCAGAGCUCUUCCAUACUAUUUCUUUAUUGACCAGAACUAUCUGAAUUUGAAUGUAGUAGUAAGUGAUGAUUUUUGCUAUGUUCUGCUAUUCCAUUAUGUUUACAGGUAAUCCUUGUUUAGUCAGUGCUUCUUUCAGCACCAUUACAACAGUGAUGAAAAGGCAACAAUACUCACAUUUAUUAAGUUUCUCAGAUCUGUACAGCAAAGGAAUGCUGAAGUAAGAUUGUAAGCACAGUCAUGGUUUUACUUAGUAAUCCCUCCAUCUAACAACUGAAAUGCCAGUCUCAAUUGUGAUUGCUAAAUGAGGACUUAUUCAUUUUAAUUUUUUUAAUGUCAUUUGCUCUUAUGUUGGAUGUUUUAUUAUUAGUGUUAUUGUCUAGCAUGGGUAUCUUAUUGAUCUAUUGUGGAACUUUGUGAUAUAAUGUUAACUGCUGGCAGUCCUAUCAGAUUGGGUAGUUACUUUACUCGUACAGUAGGCCUGUGUGAGGUAACCUAGAUUUGUUUCAGUGACGAGCGCCAUGCAGUAAAGGUGAUAUGAUUCUUUUUACUGAAACUAAGAAGCAGCCUGUAUUGAAACACUCUGCCCUGCCUUGAAAACUCCCCAUAUAUACUUAUGGUUUGAAAAAAAAAAAGCACCCCUUUCUGGCUUGGAUAAGUACAGCUGGGGAAUGUGGAGAGAAUUGCCCUUCAGCGGCCUUCCCUCAGCAUUCUUCUGCAGCAUUCCUCCAAGACAGAAACAGCUCAGGUACAGAUGUUUCCAAGAUGCAGAAGCCUCUUCAGGUUUUCAAAAGUGCCGGAGGAUGCUGAGUUUACUGCCUUUGGGCAAUGGAGCAAAGCAAACAAAAUGGCCUCUUUUCUCCUUGCUCUUCGAAAUGAGGUGGCCAUGAUACUUCAUAAGGCAUCUCCAAAAAAAUGCUGUGUUCAAUCUUCACUAAGUGAAACAUUCAAAUCAGUGGUGAAAUCCAAUUUUUUUUACUACCUGUUCUGUGGGCAUGGCUUGGUGGGCAUGGCGUGGUUUGGUGGGCAUGGCACCAUUCUCACCCCACUCCAGGGGAAAGAUACUGCAAAAUCACCAUUCCCUCCCCACUCCUGGGGGAAGGAUAUUGCAAAAUCUCCAUUCCCACCCCACUCUGGGGCCAGCCAGAGGUGGCAUUUGCCAGUUCUCUGAACUACUCAAAAUUUCUGUUACCCGUUCUCCGAACUGCUUUUUGUCUUUGGAACAUUUCACUUUUUCUCCAAGACAUUUCUUCAAUUCUGACUGGUAGGGAAUGGAAGGAUUUAUAUUCUUUGCAAUCUGUUUGUAGUUAGCACUCUGAGAGUGGUUGAGGCCAGUUGGAGGUUAAUCUGUGUCCUUAGAGUCAGCUGAAUCAGAGUUCAAACAGGUGUGGAACCUAUUCUGAUCUAGCCUUAGCAGGCAAUGAGAAACUGCUUAUUCACGAGUAAUACAACCCUCUUUUUUUCCUUAAAACAGGGCACGAACAGUCUUUAUUCACAUUAAAUACAGAACCCGGGAUAGCUCAGGCUGUUAAGAAGCCUGUUAUUAGAACACAGUAGCCUGCAAUUACUGCAGGUUCAAGCCCGGCUCAAGGUUGACUCAGCCUUCCAUCCUUUAUAAGACUGUGCCUAAAAUCUGCGUUUUGCCCAGAGUGCUACAUUUUAUGAAAGAUAUUGACAAACUGGAUCAUGUCCAGAGGACAACUAACAUUAUAAGUUCAUUGAUAAGCUACUGUUCAUCUUUCAUGUAACCUGCAUCUACAUAAUCACAUUGUCUUCAGCUCCCUUCCCAGACCAGCCAUCCAAACAGCCAUCCAAACAGCCACCCAACAAUCCACCCAACCAGCCAUCCAAACAACCAUCCAUCCAAACAACCAAACUACCAUCCAACCAUCUAUACAACCAUCUGUUGUACACAACCCCCAACCUACUAACAUCCAAAACUAGGUAUGCACGCCCCUUACCUCUUCAACACCAAUCAUUUCAGAUCUCAAAUGCAAAUUGAUAAAUGCACGAAGCAUAGUCAACAAAUUACCUGAAUUUAUCCUCUUAUUAAACAGUGGCACAUUUGAUAUCAUUUUUGUUUGUGAAACAUGGCUGAACUCAUCCCUUCCUGACUCCAUUAUCUCAAACAAAGAAUAUCAAGUCUAUCGAUCAGAUCGUG
Long non-coding RNA from Ahaetulla prasina, 12083 nucleotides. RefSeq lists it as uncharacterized. The record is from RefSeq and is a predicted model, not a curated record. Lineage: Eukaryota; Metazoa; Chordata; Lepidosauria; Squamata; Colubridae. The transcript is spliced from 3 exons.